This 353-nucleotide unclassified non-coding RNA is filed under the name Hevea brasiliensis (rubber tree). The record is from RNAcentral. Lineage: Eukaryota; Viridiplantae; Streptophyta; Magnoliopsida; Malpighiales; Euphorbiaceae.
CGGUGCUUGAGGAGGACUCAGACUGGUCCAUGGUAAAGUGCAAGAACAGAAUUGUGAUUAUACAGUUGAAAAUGACAUAUGUUAGGUGGCUGUAUAUAUUUGGGAAAUGUCUCUAUUUCUGUAGAUUAAGAAGGUGCGAGUGUUACAGUGGCGGAAAUGAGAGUUUUACUGUUGUAGAUUAAAUCAUCCAAUAUCUGUUGUCUAUUUGCUUCUCUUCUGAACUUCUUGGUUAGUUAUAGCAGUGGAAGGGAAGUAAAUGCAUUUUCUGUGAGUUGUAAUUUCAUAUAUGUUUGAAAGCAUGUCCAGAUCCCUACCAUUUUUGGUCAAAAAGUUUAUUUUUUUAAAUAAAUAAA